This 305-nucleotide ribosomal RNA is filed under the name uncultured bacterium. RNAcentral describes it as "bacterial SSU rRNA". It matches the Rfam family "Bacterial small subunit ribosomal RNA", at positions 32 to 327 of the family's 1533-position model. The record is from RNAcentral.
GAUAAAACGCUGGCGGCGUGCAUAACACAUUCAAGUCGAACGGUGACGAGGGCUUCGGCCCUCUGAUCAGUGGCGGACGGGUGAGUAACGCGUGAGCAAACCUGCCUUUCAAAAGCGGGAUAACGUCUGGGAAAACGGACGCUAAUACCGCAUAACGCACAGAGAUCGCAUGGUUUUUGGCCAAAAAGGGAACCUGAUGAAAGAUGGGCUCGCGUCUGAUUAGAUAGUUGGCGGGGUAACGGCCCACAAGUCGACGAUCAGUAGCCGGACUGAGAGGUUGACCGGCCACAUUGGGACUGAGAUAC